This 166-nucleotide small nuclear RNA is filed under the name Ovis aries (sheep). RNAcentral's name for it is "U2 spliceosomal RNA (ENSOARG00025016164.1, ENSOARG00215018398.1)". It matches the Rfam family "U2 spliceosomal RNA". Rfam says of the family: U2 is a small nuclear RNA (snRNA) component of the spliceosome (involved in pre-mRNA splicing). The record is from RNAcentral. Lineage: Eukaryota; Metazoa; Chordata; Mammalia; Artiodactyla; Bovidae.
AUCGCUUCUCGGCCUUUUGGCUAAGAUCAAGUGUAGAAAUGGCCUUCACGAGACCUAGGGAUUUUCCAGGUAGAUCAAAGUACUUUUUAAACACAAGUGGAAUUCAAUCAAUAUAAUAUGAAUUGUUGUUAAGACAGCAAGUUACUGCCUUGCUUAACACCCCAAU